RNAcentral lists this ribosomal RNA (776 nucleotides) under uncultured Neocallimastigales. RNAcentral's name for it is "partial large subunit ribosomal RNA". It matches the Rfam family "Eukaryotic large subunit ribosomal RNA", at positions 24 to 634 of the family's 3401-position model. The record is from RNAcentral. Lineage: Eukaryota; Fungi; Neocallimastigomycota; Neocallimastigomycetes; Neocallimastigales.
UAUCUCUGUAGAGUCUGCAUAUCAAUAAGCGGAGGAAAAGAAACUAACUAAGGAUUCCCUCAGUAACGGCGAGUGAAGCGGGAAGAGCUCAAAUUUGAAAUCUUCAAGGUUUUACCUUGACGAAUUGUAGUUUAAAGAAGUGUUUUCUGUUGGAGUUUCGGUAAAAGUUCUUUGGAAUAGGACAUCAUAGAGGGUGAGAAUCCCGUAUUUGACCAUUUAUUUCAGCUGUGUGAUACACUUUCAAAGAGUCGGAUUGUUUGGGAAUGCAGUCCAAAAUGGGUGGUAAAUUUCAUCUAAAGCUAAAUAUUGGCGAGAGACCGAUAGCGAACAAGUACCGUGAGGGAAAGAUGAAAAGAACUUUGAAAAGAGAGUUAAACAGUACGUGAAAUUGUCAAAAGGGAAGCGUUUGACACCAGUGUUGUUUUCUCGAAAAUCAAUUAAAAAUAACUUGAUUUUGUGUUGUAUUGACCUUAAAAGCUUUCUUCACUCUUUUCCUGUUAUUUUUAAUGCACUUUUCGUUUAACAAGUCAACAUCAGUUUCUUUUGUUGUAAAAAGGUCAUUGGAAGGUGGCUUUCUUUUCGGAGAAAGUGUUUAUAGCCUUUGACUCCUGCAAUCGGAGAGACUGAGGUCUGCAGCGUAGAUCCUUUUUGGAUUAGAUUCAUUUGUGCUAAGUUAUAGCUUUUUAUAGACAACAUGUUGACUAUAUUUAGUCUUGUAACUUACUCGCUUAUGUAAUUUUACCUACGCUUAGGAUGUUGAAUCUGUGCGAGACUAC